Molecule: ribosomal RNA, 465 nt
Filed under: uncultured bacterium
Lineage: Bacteria
Description: partial 16S ribosomal RNA
Rfam family: Bacterial small subunit ribosomal RNA
Source: RNAcentral
CUACGGGCGGCAGCAGUGGGGAAUAUUGGACAAUGGGGGAAACCCUGAUCCAGCAAUGCCGCGUGUGUGAAGAAGGCCUGCGGGUUGUAAAGCACUUUCGGUUGGGAGGACUGCUUCUAGCACUAAUAUUGUUGGAAGUUGACGUUACCUUCAGAAGAAGCACCGGCUAACUCCGUGCCAGCAGCCGCGGUAAUACGGAGGGUGCAAGCGUUAAUCGGAAUUACUGGGCGUAAAGCGCGCGUAGGCGGCUAGAUCAGUCGGGUGUGAAAGCCCAGGGCUUAACCUGGGAACUGCAUCCGAUACUGUCUAGCUUGAGUACAGGAGAGGAGAGUGGAAUUCCACAUGUAGCGGUGAAAUGCGUAGAUAUGUGGAGGAACACCAAUGGCGAAGGCAGCUCUCUGGCCUGAUACUGACGCUGAGGUGCGAAAGCGUGGGGAUCAAACAGGAUUAGAUACCCUGGUAGUC